UCAGUAGAUAAGUUGGCCGCGAUGAUUACAGGGUGGGUAUCUUCUGGUCCUAGAAAGGCAUACUUAAGAGUUGUCGGAAGUGGCUUUAACUCAAGUUUAGGUGGAGAAUCAAUGGAAGGACAAAGUGGUGCGCUAGCAAUAGGGGGAAGAGGUUCAGGUCGGAUCUUCCAAGGAAGGGAACUCAUGGGAGAUUAAUUGUUGAGUAAGAUGUUGACUUCUUCUAUGGCCUUGUCUAUGUCAAAGUUGUCAAUGUCAAAAUGGGCCAAGCAUGCCUCUAGGGGGUCAUCUGCUAGGAUAUAGGGAAGGGCUUCCUCUACAAGAUCAUCCAUUUCAUCAAUUAGGCAACACCCGUCUUCCCUCACAUGUUGGUCAGCGGCAUGAA
RNAcentral lists this long non-coding RNA (382 nucleotides) under Phoenix dactylifera (date palm). RNAcentral describes it as "long non-coding RNA (PDAC_LNC011299)". Lineage: Eukaryota; Viridiplantae; Streptophyta; Magnoliopsida; Arecales; Arecaceae. The record is from RNAcentral.